This 433-nucleotide ribosomal RNA is filed under the name uncultured bacterium. RNAcentral's name for it is "partial 16S ribosomal RNA". It matches the Rfam family "Bacterial small subunit ribosomal RNA", at positions 29 to 507 of the family's 1533-position model. The record is from RNAcentral.
AGCGAACGCUGGCGGCAUGCCUAACACAUGCAAGUCGAACGAGACCUUCGGGUCUAGUGGCGCACGGGUGCGUAACGCGUGGGAACCUGCCCUUAGGUUCGGAAUAACUCCCCGAAAGGGAUGCUAAUACCGGAUAAUGUCUUCGGACCAAAGAUUUAUCGCCUUUGGAGGGGCCCGCGUUGGAUUAGCUAGUUGGUAGGGUAAAAGCCUACCAAGGCGACGAUGCAUAGCUGGGCUGAGAGGAUGAUCAGCCACACUGGGACUGAGAAACGGCCCAGACUCCUCCGCGAGGCAGCAGUGGGGAAUAUUGGAAAAUGGGCGAAAGCAUGAUCCAGCAAUGCCGCGUGAGUGAUGAAGGCCUUAGGGUUGUAAAGCUCUUUUACCCGGGAUGAUAAUGACAGUACCGGGAGAAUAAGCUACGGCUAACUCCGUG